This is a long non-coding RNA of Mesocricetus auratus (golden hamster), 3133 nucleotides long. RefSeq lists it as uncharacterized. Lineage: Eukaryota; Metazoa; Chordata; Mammalia; Rodentia; Cricetidae. The record is from RefSeq and is a predicted model, not a curated record. The transcript is spliced from 2 exons.
AUACAUAGGUAUGCAAAAAACCACACAUAUGAAGUAAAAAUAAGAUGAAAAUUUAUCAACACAGAGAAAAAGUACAUCACCACAUUCUUUAUCUCAGAGCAUCCUGUGUUUUUCUGCAUCUUGGUGGGGAUAUACGUAAAGAUGGUAUAGGCUACUAAAAGCUACCCCUCUUCUCCAUGGCAUCCCAGGGGAUCUCUUCUUACAUUAGUGUAUCUGGGAAGUAAACAUGUGGAUACAAUGCAAUGUGUUUGUAUGGGUGCAUCCUUGUACCUGUGUGUGUUCAGGAGUAUGUGUGUGCAUGCACAUUCAUGCAUGUGUGGGUAUAUGGUACACAACUGUGCCCUAAGAACACAAUCUUUUAAUGAACAUGAACAUCAAAGACUGGAGGAAAAUCUUCAGUUCCUGCUGAAGCAGACAGAACUGGUUACCCAGCAAAAAUACUAGACAAGAAAGAUAUAGCAUCACUUCACUGAGUCCCAGAUAAGCAUUCCUUUGUCAGAAGACACUACAAGAGUGAAGAUUGGACACAGAGGGACUUGAAGAUGAGUGGGAUUGGAGUGCAUGGUGUGAUGUUACGAAAGAAUCACUAAAAAUAGAAAAUGUGUAGGCUAAAAAUCAAAUUUCACUUUUUUCCAUUUUUUAAUAUGAACUAAGCAAUAAGAAGUUGUCACACAAACAGACAAAUAAGGUUCUAGGCUUUUAAAAAUUAUGAAUAUAUUGAACAAUUCAGUGUAAUUUUGACAUAGGGACAAAAUUACUGUACAACAAGGCUUCAAGAUUUUGUGUUUCAAACAGAAAAUUCCAUUGAACUCUUGAUAUAUCCACAGAACAAGAUUUGUUGAUGUUGAUGGAAAACAUUUAAAAUUCAAAUGAAACUUAGUUCUUUUAUUGUAAGAGAGAGAGAGAAGAAACAUGAACACUGCUGCCAAUCAAUUUGCCUUUACAGAGAUUAACAGAAUAUUUCAUCAGAUGACAGCUUAUGACAGCAGGUCCAAUACACACAGGACACUGUCAACAUGCUCAAUAUUACUGGUUGUUAAACAGGUUAAAUAAACAUACAAGACCUGAUAUAAAGCAAUGUGUGCAAUCCAACUACAGGGAAAUUAAAAUGUAAGUUAAAAACAGAGGAGUAUCUCUAUGACUCUAGUACAUGAAAAUUCAAGUUUUUAAUUCUUAAAGUAAUCAAUAGGUUAAAAGGGAAAGUAAAAAUAUUUUGAAUCAAAUUGAAAGUAAAAUAUCAAAAUUUCUGGAAUAAAGCUAAACAAGCACUACUAAACAAUAAAACAUUACAUGAUUUCAUGUGAAACUGAAUCCAUGUGGAUUUUAGUUUUUAUAUUGUAAAAUAAGACCUUACUCUGUAGCAGGGCCCAAGCUACCUACAACUCCCUAUGUAGCCUACGUUGUUCUCAAACUAUUGGAAUCCUAAUUACCAAGGGCAUAGAUUACAGGCAUGAAAUAUUUAUCACCUGACUUAAGUAGAUUUGUAAUAUGGGAUAUAAAUCUUUGCAUCAAAAUUAAAAAGAAAGUGAAAAAGAAGACACUAAUCAAUUUUGAAAAAUUCAAUCAAUUGAAAAUAAAUAUGACAAGAUGUAACAGAAUAUGUAUAUAUACACAUACAUAUGUAUGUGCAUGUGUGUAUACAUUUAAAAUUAAUAUGACAAGAGUGAGAGAAUAUAUAUAUAUGUGUGUGUGUGUAUGUGUGUGUGUGUGUGUGUAUGUGUCACUGAUAAAUCUCUAGGCACACUAGCCAAGAAAAAGGAAAGAAUAUUAAAUUUACUCACAUAGGGAAUGAGAAAUAGGAUACUGCUGAUCCCACAGGUACUAAGAUGAAAUAAAGAAGCAUGGACCACAUUAAACUCAGAAAUAUAAAAUUUGGAUUAAAGCCCACAAUAAUACUUUCAGAACUGCAUUCUGCUAUCCUGAACUUCAGAGUGGGCAUUUCAGCCUCAUGAGUACUUGGGCUGUGAGGAGUCACCAGGCUCUGAGAAGACUUCCCUGGCCCUCACUAGAGACAUGCUGGACUAGGAGACUGCAGCCAAGAAGGAUGUUUUGCCUUCACCUCAACUGCACAAGAACUGGGAAGCACAGAUUCUGAGGAGAUGUCAGUCUCCAAACUGAGGGCUCACUCCUCAGAGACCCUGGACCCUGCCAUCCUGGCCUAGGGUUGCUUUCACCAUGCUGUACCCCAAAGACCUCUUCUUCAAUGUCUGGGCAGUGUAUCAUCAGUUCUUUAAUGGCCUCUAGGCUGAGCAUGCUCAAUUGUCCAGACAGGGAGCACAAGUUAGGAGAGGGAGGUUAACAGUCUGGAUGCUCAUUGGUUCAGAGUGCCUCAGGGGUAGGCUUAACCCAACAUGCCAUUUAUCAUUGAAUGUGUUGGUUGUGACUCUAUUUGAAGGCCAGUACUUUCUGGUGAUAUGUGUUGGCUUUGAUGGGAAGGGCCAGGAUUGUCUCAAGGAUGACAACAUUGUGGAUUAUCUGAACACUGGUGGUCUACACAUUGCACAUUUCCAGCUCAGCACAGGACAAUGGGAUCUUCCUGGUUUUGUCAUGAAUCAGAGAAGGAAAGUCAUGUGUCCAGAGCUGCACACCUACCAUGCCACAGUUCUUGUUCUGUUUCACAUUGCCUCAUCUCAUAUUUUCUUAACUGGCCUAGCCACAUCUCACCUAGAGAAGAAAACCUGUUUGGCCCUGCCUGUUAGGUAAUCAGAUCAUGCUGCUUUAUUGCAAAGAUGAAAAAAAUUAUACUGACAAGCUGAUAGUCACUUUCUCAAAAUCAUACAGCUGCAUGGAUAUGACAGGGACUCCUCAUAAAUCAAGUCCACAAAUAGAUACAAUAGUUUGUUUCUACUCUGCAGAAAUAGCAAAGAACUAUUUCUUUUAGUCAUAGUGGGAAGCUGGACCUAGUGAUGUUGGUUUUCUAUUAGGCUAUUAUCUUGGAAUUCCUGUGAUUCAUCCUGGACAGGGUGCUUAUGUCAGACAAGUAUACCCUUUCCUUUCAUUCUCCUGUCCAAGCAAUUUAGGAAACAUUAGGCAUGUAAAAGGAUAAUAUUGAACCCACAACAAUUUGACAGAAAAUCAUGAAUUAAUGAAACUGACAACUGCAUUAUAAAACUGUUGCUUUACUAAUAUAAAA